Gasterosteus aculeatus aculeatus (three-spined stickleback) is the source of this 320-nucleotide long non-coding RNA. The record is from Ensembl. NCBI's taxonomy places the organism in Eukaryota, Metazoa, Chordata, Actinopteri, Perciformes, Gasterosteidae.
CAGCCACCUCCGUUUGUGAAGGGUGAGCUCACAGCGAUGCCACGCGGCUGAAGUUUCUAUUAAGUCACGAGGGCACUUAUCAGGAGGAAAGGUAGCGGCAGGUCUGUUAGUUAAUGGGCACGGGACCCCGGGUGGUCAAAAGGGGACCACGGUGUGAGCUGCUGCACGCUGCGAUAUCCUGCAGAUGCCUCCAAAAUGACAGCUGGCGGGGCGAAUGGUCCGGCGUGCAAACAUUCAAGGUGUCCAACUACCUCGAUGCGAAUGAAACAAAACUCGCCUGGAGAAGACGGGAAUCCAUGAACGAGUCAUUCUACUCUCGG